UGAAUACGAGACGCUAAGGCGUCGAAGUAGUGUAUGUCAUACUUCCAAGAAAAGCUUGCACUGUCAUAGAUAAAAAACGCCUGUACCAUAACCGACACAGGUGGGUAGGUAGAGUAUACUAAGGGGCGCGAGAUAACUCUCUAAGGAACUCGGCAAAAUAACUCCGUAACUUCGGGAGAAGGAGUGCCUUAUUCGUAAGGUUGCAAUAACAAGAUCCAAGCAACUGUUUAUCAAAAACACAGGUCUCCGCUAAGUCGUAAGACGAUGUAUGGGGGCUGACGCCUGCCCAGUGCCAGAAGGUUAAAGAAGAUGGUUAGCAAUUGCGAAGCUGAUAACUGGAGCCCUGGUGAACGGCGGCCGUAACAAUAACGGUCCUAAGGUAGCGAAAUUCCUUGUCGGGUAAGUUCCGACCCGCACGAAAGGCGUAAUGAUUUGGAUACUGUCUCGGAGAGGGGCUCGGUGAAAUAGACUUGUCUGUGAAGAUGCGGACUACCUGCACCAGGACAGAAAGACCCUAUGAAGCUUUACUGUAACUUGAAAUUGAAAUUGGACUUUAUUCGCGCAGUAUAGGUGGGAGGCGUUGAUUAUAAUCUUGUGGGAUUAUUGGAGCCAUCAGUGAGAUACCACUCUUGUAAUGUUAGAUUUCUAACUUUGAAUCAUUAUCUGGUCAAAGAACAGUUUCAGGCGGGCAGUUUGACUGGGGCGGUCGCCUCCUAAACGGUAACGGAGGCGUACAAAGGUUUCCUCUGAACGGUUAGAAAUCGUAUCUAGAGUGUAAAGGCAUAAGGAAGCUUGACUGUGAGACCUACAAGUCGAGCAGGGACGAAAGUCGGUCUUAGUGAUCUGACGGUACUGAGUGGAAAGGCCGUCACUCAACGGAUAAAAGUUACUCUAAGGAUAACAGGCUGAUCUCCCCCAAGAGUUCACAUCGACGGGGAGGUUUGGCACCUCGAUGUCGGCUCAUCGCAUCCUGGGGCGGUAGUACGUCCCAAGGGUUGGGCUGUUCGCCCAUGAAAGCGGUACGCGAGCUGGGUUCAGAACGUCGUGAGACAGUUCGGUCCAUAUCCGGUGUAGGCGUUAGAAUAUUGAGAGGAGCCUUCUUUAGUACGAGAGGACCGAGAAGGACAUACCUCUGGUGUACCAGUUAUCGUGCCAACGGUAAACGCUGGGUAGCUAUGUAUGGAGUGGAAAACCGCUGAAAGCAUCUAAGUGGGAAGCCCACCUCAAGAUAAG
This 1233-nucleotide ribosomal RNA is filed under the name metagenome. RNAcentral's name for it is "bacterial LSU rRNA". It matches the Rfam family "Bacterial large subunit ribosomal RNA", at positions 1564 to 2808 of the family's 2925-position model. The record is from RNAcentral.